RNAcentral lists this ribosomal RNA (484 nucleotides) under uncultured bacterium. Its description in RNAcentral is "bacterial SSU rRNA". It matches the Rfam family "Bacterial small subunit ribosomal RNA", at positions 32 to 492 of the family's 1533-position model. The record is from RNAcentral.
AAUCAACGCUGGCGGCGUGCCUAACACAUGCAAGUCGAACGCGAAAGCCCUUUCGGGGGUAAGUAGAGUGGCGUCCGGGUGAGUAACACGUAGGUAAUCUACCUUCGGGUGGGGAAUAACUCGCCGAAAGGCGAGCUAAUACCGCAUAAUGCAGCGGCACCUAAUGGUGAUUAGUUGUUAAAGCGGGGGAUCGUAAGACCUCGCGCCUGAAGAGGAGCCUGCGGCAGAUUAGCUAGNGGUGAGGUAAUGGCUCACCAAGGCUUCGAUCUGUAGCUGGUCUGAGAGGACGGCCAGCCACACUGGCACUGACACACGGGCCAGACUCCUACGGGAGGCAGCAGUGGGGAAUUUUGGGCAAUGGGCGCAAGCCUGACCCAGCAACGCCGCGUGAGGGAGGAAAUCCUUCGGGAUGUAAACCUCACAAGCAAGGGAAGAGAGCUCAGGACCAAAUAAGUCCUGAGUCCGACGGUACCUUGCGUAAGCC